GCGUCAGUAGUGUAACGGGUUAGAGCAUGCGCUGCCGGAGAGAGUGAGGUGUGGGUUCGAAUCCCGCCUCACGCG
Non-coding RNA from Parelaphostrongylus tenuis, 75 nucleotides. Lineage: Eukaryota; Metazoa; Nematoda; Chromadorea; Rhabditida; Metastrongylidae. The record is from the annotation of a GenBank genome assembly.